Small nuclear RNA from Brassica oleracea var. oleracea, 108 nucleotides. Lineage: Eukaryota; Viridiplantae; Streptophyta; Magnoliopsida; Brassicales; Brassicaceae. The record is from Rfam.
UUCGGAGACAUCAGACUUCUAAUAAAAUUGGAAUGAUAUAGAGAAUAUUAGCAUGGCCUUUUUGUAAGGAUGACAAGACCUGGACACGGAUCGGAUAUCCGGGUUUUU